This 768-nucleotide small RNA is filed under the name Pan troglodytes (chimpanzee). Its description in RNAcentral is "processed transcript". Lineage: Eukaryota; Metazoa; Chordata; Mammalia; Primates; Hominidae. The record is from RNAcentral.
CGGCAACCUCAACGAGAGCGUGACCCCCGCGGACUUGGAGAAAGUGUUUGCGGAGCACAAGAUCUCCUACAGCGGCCAGUUCUUGGUCAAAUCCGGCUACGCCUUCGUGGACUGCCCGGACGAGCACUGGGCGAUGAAGGCCAUCGAAACUUUCUCCGGGAAAGUAGAAUUACAAGGAAAACGCUUAGAGAUUGAACAUUCGGUGCCCAAAAAACAAAGGAGCCGGAAAAUUCAAAUCCGAAAUAUUCCACCCCAGCUCCGAUGGGAAGUACUGGACAGCCUGCUGGCUCAGUAUGGUACAGUAGAGAACUGUGAGCAAGUGAACACCGAGAGUGAGACGGCAGUGGUGAAUGUCACCUAUUCCAACCGGGACCAGACCAGGCACUCAUUAGAAGAGUUCCUCAAUUGCUGCUUCAACACCCGCCACGAUGGCGUUCAACCUGGCAGAUUAAUUUAACAACUCUCUGAUGGGUUGCCCUGAAAUUUGAAAAACAGUGCCUUGGGCCGGGCGCGAUGGCUCACACCUGUAAUCCCAGCAUUUUGGGAGACCGAGGCGGGCGAAUCACCUGAGGUCGGGAGUUCGAGACCAGCCUGACCAACAUGGAGAAACCCCAUCUCUACUAAAAAUACAAAAUUAGCGGGGCAUGGUGGCGCAUGCCUGUAAUCCCAGCUACUUGGGAGGCUGAGGCUUGAACCCGGGAGGAGGAGGUUGCACUGAGCCGAGAUCACGCCAUUGCACUGCAGCCUGGGCAAUGAGCAAAACUCUGC